GUAACAAGGUCUCCGUUGGUGAACCAGCGGAGGGAUCAUUACAGAGUUAUACAACUCCCAUACCAUCUGUUAACCUACCCAGUUAUGCCUCGGCGUAAGCUCGGUUGGAGGCACCUGCAGCUACCCUGUAGUUGCGGACUGCCAACUCCAGCCGCGGCCCGCCGGCGGUACACUAAACUCUGUUUUAUUUUAUAUUCUGAGCGUCUUAUUUUAAUAAGUUAAAACUUUCAACAACGGAUCUCUUGGUUCUGGCAUCGAUGAAGAACGCAGCGAAAUGCGAUAAGUAAUGUGAAUUGCAGAAUUCAGUGAAUCAUCGAAUCUUUGAACGCACAUUGCGCCCAUCAGUAUUCUGGUGGGCAUGCCUGUUCGAGCGUCAUUUCAACCCUUAAGCCUAGCUUAGUGUUGGGAAUCUGCUGUACUGCAGUUCCUUAAAGACAGUGGCGGAGCGGCGGUAGUCCUCUGAGCGUAGUAAUUUAUUUCUCGCUUUUGUCAGGCUCUGUCCUCCCGCCAUAAAACCCCCAAUUUUUUAGUGGUUGACCUCGGAUCAGGUAGGAAUACCCGCUGAACCUAAGCAUAUCA
This 579-nucleotide unclassified non-coding RNA is filed under the name Apiospora arundinis. Its description in RNAcentral is "sequence contains 18S rRNA gene, ITS1, 5.8S rRNA gene, ITS2, 28S rRNA gene". The stretch from base 223 to 376 matches the Rfam family "5.8S ribosomal RNA". Lineage: Eukaryota; Fungi; Ascomycota; Sordariomycetes; Amphisphaeriales; Apiosporaceae. The record is from RNAcentral.